GUUGUAUGGUUAAGUGACUAAGCGUACACGGUGGAUGCCUAGGCAGUCAGAGGCGAUGAAGGACGUACUAACUUGCGAUAAGCGCAGAUAAGGCAGUAAGAGCCGUUUGAGUCUGCGAUUUCCGAAUGGGGAAACCCAACUGCACAAGCAGUUACUGUUAACUGAAUACAUAGGUUAACAGAGCAAACCGGGGGAACUGAAACAUCUAAGUACCCCGAGGAGAAGAAAUCAACCGAGAUUCCGGUAGUAGCGGCGAGCGAACCUGGAUUAGCCCUUAAGCACUCGUUGAAGUAGGUGAACAAGCUGGAAAGCUUGGCGAUACAGGGUGAUAGCCCCGUAACCGACGCUUCAUCGAGCGUGAAAUCGAGUAGGGCGGGACACGUGAUAUCCUGUCUGAAUAUGGGGGGACCAUCCUCCAAGGCUAAAUACUCCUGACUGACCGAUAGUGAACCAGUACCGUGAGGGAAAGGCGAAAAGAACCCCUGUGAGGGGAGUGAAAUAGAACCUGAAACCGUGUACGUACAAGCAGUAGGAGCACCUUCGUGGUGUGACUGCGUACCUUUUGUAUAAUGGGUCAGCGACUUAUAUUCAGUGGCAAGGUUAACCGUAUAGGGGAGCCGUAGCGAAAGCGAGUCUUAACUGGGCGCUCAGUCUCUGGAUAUAGACCCGAAACCGGGUGAUCUAGCCAUGGGCAGGUUGAAGGUUGAGUAACAUCAACUGGAGGACCGAACCGACUAAUGUUGAAAAAUUAGCGGAUGACUUGUGGCUAGGGGUGAAAGGCCAAUCAAACUCGGAGAUAGCUGGUUCUCCCCGAAAGCUAUUUAGGUAGCGCCUCGGACGAAUACUACUGGGGGUAGAGCACUGUUAAGGCUAGGGGGUCAUCCCGACUUACCAACCCUUUGCAAACUCCGAAUACCAGUAAGUACUAUCCGGGAGACACACGGCGGGUGCUAACGUCCGUCGUGGAGAGGGAAACAACCCAGACCGCCAGCUAAGGUCCCAAAGUAUUGCUAAGUGGGAAACGAUGUGGGAAGGCUCAGACAGCUAGGAUGUUGGCUUAGAAGCAGCCAUCAUUUAAAGAAAGCGUAAUAGCUCACUAGUCGAGUCGGCCUGCGCGGAAGAUGUAACGGGGCUAAGCAAUACACCGAAGCUGCGGCAAUGCCUUUUAGGUAUUGGGUAGGGGAGCGUUCUGUAAGCCGUUGAAGGUGGUCUGUAAGGGCUGCUGGAGGUAUCAGAAGUGCGAAUGCUGACAUGAGUAACGACAAAGGGGGUGAAAAACCUCCUCGCCGGAAGACCAAGGGUUCCUGUCCAACGUUAAUCGGGGCAGGGUGAGUCGACCCCUAAGGUGAGGCCGAAAGGCGUAAUCGAUGGGAAACGGGUUAAUAUUCCCGUACUUCUGACUAUUGCGAUGGGGGGACGGAGAAGGCUAGGUGGGCCAGGCGACGGUUGUCCUGGUUCAAGUGCGUAGGCUUAAGAGUUAGGUAAAUCCGGCUCUUUCUAAGGCUGAGACACGACGUCGAGCUGCUACGGCAGUGAAGUCAUUGAUGCCAUGCUUCCAGGAAAAGCCUCUAAGCUUCAGAUAGUCAGGAAUCGUACCCCAAACCGACACAGGUGGUCGGGUAGAGAAUACCAAGGCGCUUGAGAGAACUCGGGUGAAGGAACUAGGCAAAAUGGUACCGUAACUUCGGGAGAAGGUACGCUCUUGAUGGUGAAGUCCCUUGCGGAUGGAGCUGACGAGAGUCGCAGAUACCAGGUGGCUGCAACUGUUUAUUAAAAACACAGCACUGUGCAAAAUCGCAAGAUGACGUAUACGGUGUGACGCCUGCCCGGUGCCGGAAGGUUAAUUGAUGGGGUUAGCGCAAGCGAAGCUCUUGAUCGAAGCCCCGGUAAACGGCGGCCGUAACUAUAACGGUCCUAAGGUAGCGAAAUUCCUUGUCGGGUAAGUUCCGACCUGCACGAAUGGCGUAAUGAUGGCCACGCUGUCUCCACCCGAGACUCAGUGAAAUUGAAAUCGCUGUGAAGAUGCAGUGUACCCGCGGCUAGACGGAAAGACCCCGUGAACCUUUACUACAGCUUGGCACUGAACAUUGAACCUACAUGUGUAGGAUAGGUGGGAGGCUAUGAAGACGUGACGCUAGUUGCGUUGGAGCCGUCCUUGAAAUACCACCCUUGUAUGUUUGAUGUUCUAACUUAG
This 2194-nucleotide ribosomal RNA is filed under the name Vibrio cholerae. RNAcentral's name for it is "partial 23S ribosomal RNA". It matches the Rfam family "Bacterial large subunit ribosomal RNA", at positions 1 to 2230 of the family's 2925-position model. The record is from RNAcentral. Lineage: Bacteria; Pseudomonadati; Pseudomonadota; Gammaproteobacteria; Vibrionales; Vibrionaceae.